GAUGAAGAACGUAGCGAAAUGCGAUAAGUAGUGUGAAUUGCAGAAUUCAGUGAAUCAUCGAAUCUUUGAACGCACAUUGCGCCCUUUGGUAUUCCUUAGGGCAUGCCUGUUCGAGCGUCAUUUAAACCUUCAAGCUCAGCUUGGUGUUGGGUGACUGUCCGCUUCACCGCGGACUCGCCUCAAAAUUAUUGGCGGCCGGUACAUUGGCUUCGAGCGCAGCAGAAACGCGAACUCGGGCCCGUCGUAUUGGCUCCCAGAAGCUAUCUUCACAAUUUUGACCUCGGAUCAGGUAGGGAUACCCGCUGAACCUAAGCAUAUCAAUAAGCGGAGGA
Molecule: unclassified non-coding RNA, 332 nt
Filed under: soil metagenome
Description: partial contains 5.8S ribosomal RNA, internal transcribed spacer 2, and large subunit ribosomal RNA
Rfam family: 5.8S ribosomal RNA (bases 1-120)
Source: RNAcentral